This 497-nucleotide ribosomal RNA is filed under the name uncultured bacterium. RNAcentral describes it as "partial 16S ribosomal RNA". It matches the Rfam family "Bacterial small subunit ribosomal RNA", at positions 28 to 507 of the family's 1533-position model. The record is from RNAcentral.
GAUGAACGCUGGCGGCGUGCCUAAUACAUGCAAGUCGAGCGAACGGACGAGAAGCUUGCUUCUCUGAUGUUAGCGGCGGACGGGUGAGUAACACGUGGAUAACCUACCUAUAAGACUGGGAUAACUUCGGGAAACCGGAGCUAAUACCGGAUAAUAUUUUGAACCGCAUGGUUCAAAAGUAAAAGACGGUCUUGCUGUCACUUAUAGAUGGAUCCGCGCUGCAUUAGCUAGUUGGUAAGGUAACGGCUUACCAAGGCAACGAUGCAUAGCCGACCUGAGAGGGUGAUCGGCCACACUGGAACUGAGACACGGUACAAGAUCAUACGGGAGGCAGCAGUAGGGAAUAUUCCGCAAUGGGCGAAAGCCUGACGGAGCAACGCCGCGUGAGUGAUGAAGGUCUUCGGAUCGUAAAACUCUGUUAUUAGGGAAGAACAUAUGUGUAAGUAACUGUGCACAUCUUGACGGUACCUAAUCAGAGAGCCACGGCUAGCUACGUG